UACAUGGGGUGCAAACGUUGCUCGGAAUUACUGGGCGUAAAGCGCGUGUAGGCGGUUGUCCAAGUUGGAUGUGAAAGCCUUGAGCUUAACUCAAGAAAUGCAUUCAGGACUGGAUGACUAGAGGACCGGAGAGGAUAGUGGAAUUCCCAGUGUAGUGGUGAAAUACGUAGAGAUUGGGAAGAACACCAGUGGCGAAGGCGGCUAUCUGGACGGUUUCUGACGCUAAGACGCGAAAGCGUGGGGAGCAAACAGG
RNAcentral lists this ribosomal RNA (253 nucleotides) under uncultured bacterium. RNAcentral's name for it is "partial 16S ribosomal RNA". It matches the Rfam family "Bacterial small subunit ribosomal RNA", at positions 524 to 776 of the family's 1533-position model. The record is from RNAcentral.